GGUGUCCGGUGCGUUCUCGACGGCCCUUGAAAACCCGCGGGAGACAAUGAUUUUCGUGUCCGGUCGUACUCAUAACCGCAGCAGGUCUCCGAGGUGAGCAGCCUCUGGUUGAUAGAACAAUGUAGGUAAGGGAAGUCGGCUAAAUAGAUCCGUAACUUCGGGAAAAGGAUUGCCUCUAAGCGUUGGGUCUCUCGGGCUGAGAC
RNAcentral lists this ribosomal RNA (203 nucleotides) under uncultured Symbiodinium. RNAcentral's name for it is "partial Eukaryotic large subunit ribosomal RNA". It matches the Rfam family "Eukaryotic large subunit ribosomal RNA", at positions 1779 to 1981 of the family's 3401-position model. The record is from RNAcentral. Lineage: Eukaryota; Dinophyceae; Suessiales; Symbiodiniaceae.